AUUGAACGCUGGCGGCAUGCCUUACACAUGCAAGUCGAACGGCAGCGCGGGAGCAAUCCUGGCGGCGAGUGGCGAACGGGUGAGUAAUAUAUCGGAACGUGCCCAUUAGUGGGGGAUAGCCCGGCGAAAGCCGGAUUAAUACCGCAUACGACCUGAGGGUGAAAGCGGGGGAUCGCAAGACCUCGCGCUAUUGGAGCGGCCGAUAUCAGAUUAGCUAGUUGGUGGGGUAAAGGCCUACCAAGGCAACGAUCUGUAGUUGGUCUGAGAGGACGACCAGCCACACUGGGACUGAGACACGGCCCAGACUCCUACGGGAGGCAGCAGUGGGGAAUUUUGGACAAUGGGCGCAAGCCUGAUCCAGCAAUGCCGCGUGCAGGAAGAAGGCCUCCGGGUUGUAAACUGCUUUUGUCAGGGAAGAAAUCCUUUGGGCUAAUACCUCGGAGGGAUGACGGUACCUGAAGAAUAAGCACCGGCUAACUACGUGCCAGCCGCCGCGGUAA
RNAcentral lists this ribosomal RNA (500 nucleotides) under uncultured bacterium. Its description in RNAcentral is "partial 16S ribosomal RNA". It matches the Rfam family "Bacterial small subunit ribosomal RNA", at positions 29 to 523 of the family's 1533-position model. The record is from RNAcentral.